RNAcentral lists this ribosomal RNA (652 nucleotides) under Streptomyces griseorubiginosus. RNAcentral describes it as "bacterial LSU rRNA". It matches the Rfam family "Bacterial large subunit ribosomal RNA", at positions 1 to 585 of the family's 2925-position model. Lineage: Bacteria; Bacillati; Actinomycetota; Actinomycetes; Kitasatosporales; Streptomycetaceae. The record is from RNAcentral.
ACAGUGGACGCGAGCAUCUGUGGCCAAGUUUUUAAGGGCGCACGGUGGAUGCCUUGGCACCAGGAACCGAUGAAGGACGUGGGAGGCCACGAUAGUCCCCGGGGAGUCGUCAACCAGGCUUUGAUCCGGGGGUUUCCGAAUGGGGAAACCCGGCAGUCGUCAUGGGCUGUCACCCGCUGCUGAACACAUAGGCAGUGUGGAGGGAACGCGGGGAAGUGAAACAUCUCAGUACCCGCAGGAAGAGAAAACAACCGUGAUUCCGGGAGUAGUGGCGAGCGAAACCGGAUGAGGCCAAACCGUAUGCGUGUGAGACCCGGCAGGGGUUGCGCAUGCGGGGUUGUGGGAUCUCUCUUCUGUCGUCUGCCGGCGACAGGACGAGUCAGAAACCGUUGAUGUAGGCGAAGGACAUGCGAAAGGUCCGGCGUAGAGGGUAAGACCCCCGUAGUCGAAACGUCAGCGGCUCGUUUGAGAGACACCCAAGUAGCACGGGGCCCGAGAAAUCCCGUGUGAAUCUGGCGGGACCACCCGCUAAGCCUAAAUAUUCCCUGGUGACCGAUAGCGGAUAGUACCGUGAGGGAAUGGUGAAAAGUACCGCGGGAGCGGAGUGAAAUAGUACCUGAAACCGUGUGCCUACAAGCCGUGGGAGCGUCGG